UACGUAGGCAGCGAGCGUUGUUCGGAGUUACUGGGCGUAAAGGGCGCGUAGGCGGCCUCGCAAGUCCCGUGUGAAAUCCCUCGGCUCAACUGAGGAAUGGCACGGGAAACUGCGGGGCUUGAGUUCGGGAGAGGGAAGCGGAAUUCCGGGUGUAGCGGUGAAAUGCGUAGAUAUCCGGAGGAACACCGGUGGCGAAGGCGGCUUCCUGGACCGAUACUGACGCUGAGGCGCGAAAGCUAGGGGAGCAAACGGG
This 253-nucleotide ribosomal RNA is filed under the name uncultured bacterium. RNAcentral's name for it is "partial 16S ribosomal RNA". It matches the Rfam family "Bacterial small subunit ribosomal RNA", at positions 524 to 776 of the family's 1533-position model. The record is from RNAcentral.